Long non-coding RNA from Magallana angulata, 313 nucleotides. RefSeq lists it as uncharacterized. NCBI's taxonomy places the organism in Eukaryota, Metazoa, Mollusca, Bivalvia, Ostreida, Ostreidae. The record is from RefSeq and is a predicted model, not a curated record. The transcript has 2 exons.
UGACAAUGCUUUACACAAGGAAGUAAAGUUCACACUGGGAUGAAUCAGGCAUCUUAGCAAGAUGAAAUGAUGGGGAAGAACUGAACACGUAGACAAGUCACAAGAAAACCAGCAUGAGGGUCUCUGGUGGCGGUCUCAUAAGCUGACCAGCACGAAGAGGACUGUAAAUAAAAUUCAUUUAAGGAGGAUGUCCGGCCGUCUUAUACAUUUCAGGACCAAAAUGUAAACAUUUCUUGAACUGGCUUUUUCAUGUCAAAUUCUGACCAAAACUGUUGCCAAAAGUUGUCAAAAGAUAAAAAGCAAUAAACAUGAG